Molecule: ribosomal RNA, 382 nt
Filed under: uncultured bacterium
Lineage: Bacteria
Description: bacterial SSU rRNA
Rfam family: Bacterial small subunit ribosomal RNA
Source: RNAcentral
AUUGAACGCUGGCGGCAUGCCUUACACAUGCAAGUCGAACGGCAGCACGGGGGCAACCCUGGUGGCGAGUGGCGAACGGGUGAGUAAUGCGAUCGGAACGUGCCCAGUAGUGGGGGAUAACUAGUCGAAAGAUUAGCUAAUACCGCAUACGACCUACGGGUGAAAGCGGGGAUUCGCAAGAACCUCGCGCUAUCGGAGCGGCCGAUGUCUGAUUAGCUAGUUGGCGGGGUAAAAGCCCACCAAGGCUUCGAUCAGUAGCUGGUCUGAGAGGACGACCAGCCACACUGGGACUGAGACACGGCCCAGACUCCUACGGGAGGCAGCAGUUGGGGAAUUUUGGACAAUGGGCGCAAGCCUGAUCCAGCCAUGCCGCGUGCGGGAA